This 468-nucleotide ribosomal RNA is filed under the name uncultured bacterium. Its description in RNAcentral is "partial 16S ribosomal RNA". It matches the Rfam family "Bacterial small subunit ribosomal RNA", at positions 28 to 507 of the family's 1533-position model. The record is from RNAcentral.
GACGAACGCUGGCGGCGCGCUUAACACAUGCAAGUCGAACGGAAAGGCUCUGCUUUUGUGGGGUGCUCGAGUGGCGAACGGGCGAGUAACACGUGCGUAACCUGCCCUUGACUUUGGGAUAACUUAAGGAAACUGGGGCUAAUACCGGAUAGGAGCUCCUGCCGCAUGGUGGGGGUUGGAACGUUUCGGCGGUUGGGGAUGAACUCGCGGCUUAUCAGCCUGUUGGCGGGGUAGUGGCUUACCAAUGCCUUCACGGGUAGCCGCCCUGAGAGGGUGACCGACCUCAUCGAUACAAAGACACGCCCCGAACUCCUUCGGGAGGCAGCAUUAAGGAAUAUUCCACAAUGGUCCGAAGCCUUAUGCAGCCUCGCCACGUGCGGAAUGUCAACCUUCCGGUUGUAGACCGCUUUCGCCUCUGACGAAGCGUGUGUGGCGGUAAUGAGUAGAGAAGCACCGGCUAACUACGUG